Molecule: small RNA, 628 nt
Filed under: Pongo abelii (Sumatran orangutan)
Lineage: Eukaryota; Metazoa; Chordata; Mammalia; Primates; Hominidae
Description: processed transcript
Source: RNAcentral
GGCUGAGGCUCUGUCCUUCUUCCCCCAGCCCAGAGAAAGGCUGAUUUCCAACAUCCCGCAGGGCCUGUGGAGCCAGAGCCCAGAGACAGAGGCCUGCAGAGGAGGUAAUUCUGCCCGAAGACCCCAGACUCCCACCCGCCCCUCGCCCAUACACUGCCCCUAAAGCUUCCGUUCCUCCCCCAGGUCCAGCCCCGCUGCCGACGCCCAGGAAGAAAACCCCUAUGCUACUGUGAAGGACACACAGCCUGAGGACGGGGUGGAGCUGGACAGUCCGAGCCCACACGAUGAAGACCCCCAGGCAGUGACGUAUGCCGAGGUGAAACACUCCAGACCUAGGAGAGAAAUGGCCUCCCCUCCCUCCUCACUGUCUGAGGAAUUCCUGGACACAAAGGACACACAGGCAGAAGAGGACAGGCAGAUGGACACUGAGGUGGUCCUUUCCUCUCCAGGCCCCCAGGCCUCCCCGACCCCCACCACGUUCCUUCCCUCUCACUCUCCCCCACUGCAGGCUGCUGCAUCUGAAGCCCCCCAGGAUGUGACCUACGCCCAGCUGCACAGCUUGACCCUCAGACGGGAGGCAACUGAGCCUCCUCCAUCCCAGGAACGGGAACCUCCAGCUGAGGCCAGC